AGGAUAAACGCUGGCGGCGUGCUUCAGGCAUGCAAGUCGAACGAGCACUUUGGUGCUAGUGGCGGACGGGUGAGUAACACGUAAGUAACCUGCCCGGAAGUGGGGAAUAACUGACCGAAAGGUUAGCUAAUACCGCAUACGAUGGUCCUUCCCUGGAGGGGUCAUCAAAGGCGAAAGUCGCUUCCGGAGGGGCUUGCGGCCGAUUAGUUAGUUGGUGGGGUAAUGGCCUACCAAGACUGCGAUCGGUAGCUGGUCUGAGAGGACGGACAGCCACACGGGGGACUGAGAUACGGCCCCGACUCCUACGGGAGGCAGCAGCUAGGAAUCUUGGGAAUGGGCGAAAGCCUGACCCAGCAACGCCGCGUGGGUGAUGAAGGCCUUCGGGUUGUAAAGCCCUUUUGCAGGGGAAGAUGAUGACGGUACCCUGCGAAUAAGCCACGGCUAACUACGUGCCAGCAGCCGC
Molecule: ribosomal RNA, 463 nt
Filed under: uncultured bacterium
Lineage: Bacteria
Description: SSU rRNA
Rfam family: Bacterial small subunit ribosomal RNA
Source: RNAcentral